CACAGGAUUUCUAAGAAUUAGCAGAACUGGCUCUUCCAUCUAAACUUUCACUGCACCACACCCAAGCAGUCUAUAUUUGCAAAAGAUUGAGAGUCAAGAAGAAUCCACCGAAGCAGAGUUAAGGCUGUUAAAUAAACAGUGUUUUACGAGGACAUGGAUUCCAAGCUGGAUAAGAAAGGAAGUGAAGACAAGGAGGGGACUGAUGGAUGGAAGAACAUAGAAGAUUCACUGCAUUGGGUGUCAUGAUGAAGCUCAGGGGAAUAUGGACAUAACAGCUACGGCUCUCUUAACCACCUUGGACCAUAAGCCUAACUUGGCCAUGGAAAUCACAAAAAGCAGAGCAGCAAGAUAGAAAGAGCCUGGUUCCUUGACUUCUCAAACAUGAGAAAUAAAGAAAUUUCUACUUCUUUAAGCCACUAUAAUUUUGUAGCUUUCUGUUACUCACAGCUGAAGUUAAUCCUAAUAAAUACCAGAUGUGUUAA
Symphalangus syndactylus (siamang) is the source of this 482-nucleotide long non-coding RNA. RefSeq lists it as uncharacterized. The record is from RefSeq and is a predicted model, not a curated record. NCBI's taxonomy places the organism in Eukaryota, Metazoa, Chordata, Mammalia, Primates, Hylobatidae.